RNAcentral lists this ribosomal RNA (492 nucleotides) under uncultured bacterium. Its description in RNAcentral is "partial 16S ribosomal RNA". It matches the Rfam family "Bacterial small subunit ribosomal RNA", at positions 29 to 507 of the family's 1533-position model. The record is from RNAcentral.
AGUGAACGCUGGCGGUAGGCCUAACACAUGCAAGUCGAACGGCAGCACAGUAAGAGCUUGCUCUUACGGGUGGCGAGUGGCGGACGGGUGAGGAAGACAUCGGAAUCUACUUUUUCGUGGGGGAUAACGUAGGGAAACUUACGCUAAUAUCGCAUACGACCUACGGGUGAAAGCAGUGGAUCUUCUGACCUUGCUCGAUUGGAUGAGCCGAUGUCGGAUUAGCUAGUUGGCGGGGGAAAGGCCCACCAAGGCGACGAUCCGUAGCUGGUAUGAGAGGAUGAGCAGCCACCCUGGGAGUGAGACACGGUCCAAACUCAUACGGGCGGGAGCAGUGGGGAAUAUUGGAGAAAGGGCGCAAGCUUGAUCCAGCCAUACCGAGUGGGUGAAGCAGGAAUUCGGGUUGUAAAGCCAUUUUGUUCGGAAAGAAAAGCAGCAGCUUAAUACAACGCUGUUCUGACGGUACCAAAAGAAUAAGCACCGGCUAACUUCGUG